This 438-nucleotide ribosomal RNA is filed under the name uncultured bacterium. RNAcentral's name for it is "bacterial SSU rRNA". It matches the Rfam family "Bacterial small subunit ribosomal RNA", at positions 66 to 509 of the family's 1533-position model. The record is from RNAcentral.
ACUGAUUGAAGUUUUCGGAGUGAAGUUCGGUAGUUCCGAGUGGCGACGGGUGAGUAACGCGUGGGUAAACCCUGCCCUGUACAGGGGGAUAACAGUUGGAAAACGACUGUUAAUACCGCAUAAGACCACAGUGCCGCAUGGCACAGGGGUAAAAACUCCGGUGGUACAGGAUGGACCCGCGUCCAAUUAGCUAGUUGGUGAGGUAAGGCCCCGACCAAGGCGACGAUUGGUAGCCGAUCUGAGAGGAUGACCGGCCACAUUGGACUGAGACACGGCCCAAACUCCUACGGGAGGCAGCAGUGGGGAAUAUUGCACAAUGGGGGAAACCCUGAUGCAGCGACGCCGCGUGAGUGAUGAAGUAUUUUCGGUAUGUAAAGCUCUAUCAGCAGGGAAGAAAAUGACGGUACCUGAGUAAGAAGCCCCGGCUAACUACGUGCC